Molecule: non-coding RNA, 95 nt
Organism: Mycena leptocephala
Lineage: Eukaryota; Fungi; Basidiomycota; Agaricomycetes; Agaricales; Mycenaceae
Source: the annotation of a GenBank genome assembly
GCACCGAUGGUGUAUGGUACACCCGCCGACAGAAUUGGUGGAUCACUUGACAGUCAUUAGAACGGCAGACCGGGGUUCGAUUCCCCGUUGGUGCA